UACGAAGGGGGCUAGCGUUGUUCGGAUUUACUGGGCGUAAAGCGCACGUAGGCGGAUCUUUAAGUCAGAGGUGAAAUCCCAAGGCUCAACCUUGGAACUGCCUUUGAUACUGGGGAUCUUGAGUCCGGGAGAGGUGAGUGGAACUGCGAGUGUAGAAGUGAAAUUCGUAGAUAUUCGCAAGAACACCAGUGGCGAAGGCGGCUCACUGGCCCGGUACUGACGCUGAGGUGCGAAAGCGUGGGGAGCAAACAGG
Molecule: ribosomal RNA, 253 nt
Filed under: uncultured bacterium
Lineage: Bacteria
Description: partial 16S ribosomal RNA
Rfam family: Bacterial small subunit ribosomal RNA
Source: RNAcentral